This 820-nucleotide ribosomal RNA is filed under the name uncultured cyanobacterium. RNAcentral's name for it is "bacterial SSU rRNA". It matches the Rfam family "Bacterial small subunit ribosomal RNA", at positions 33 to 897 of the family's 1533-position model. The record is from RNAcentral. Lineage: Bacteria; Bacillati; Cyanobacteriota.
ACGCUGGCGGUAUGCUUACACAUGCAAGUCGAACGGUCUUUUAGGAGACAGUGGCGGACGGGUGAGUAACGCGUAAGAAUCUACCUUCAGGUUGGGGACAACCGCUGGAAACAGUGGCUAAUACCGAAUGUGCCGAGAGGUGAAAGGCUUGCUGCCUGAAGAAGAGCUUGCGUCUGAUUAGCUAGUUGGUAGUGUAAGAGACUACCAAGGCGACGAUCAGUAGCUGGUCUGAGAGGAUGAUCAGCCACACUGGGACUGAGACACGGCCCAGACUCCUACGGGAGGCAGCAGUGGGGAAUUUUCCGCAAUGGGCGAAAGCCUGACGGAGCAAUACCGCGUGAGGGAGGAAGGCUCUUGGGUUGUAAACCUCUUUUCUCAGGGAAGAACAGAAUGACGGUACCUGAGGAAUAAGCAUCGGCUAACUCCGUGCCAGCAGCCGCGGUAAUACGGAGGAUGCAAGCGUUAUCCGGAAUGAUUGGGCGUAAAGGGUCCGCAGGUGGCAUUGUAAGUCUGCUGUUAAAGAGUUUGGCUCAACCAAAUAAGAGCAGUGGAAACUACAAAGCUAGAGUGUGGUCGGGGCAGAGGGAAUUCCUGGUGUAGCGGUGAAAUGCGUAGAUAUCAGGAAGAACACCAGUGGCGAAGGCGCUCUGCUUGGCCGAGACUGACACUGAGGGACGAAAGCUAGGGGAGCGAAUGGGAUUAGAUACCCCAGUAGUCCUAGCCGUAAACGAUGGAUACUAGGCGUAGCUCGUAUCGACCCGAGCUGUGCCGGAGCUAACGCGUUAAGUAUCCCGCCUGGGGAGUACGCAGGCAACUGUGA